Molecule: long non-coding RNA, 275 nt
Filed under: Pan troglodytes (chimpanzee)
Lineage: Eukaryota; Metazoa; Chordata; Mammalia; Primates; Hominidae
Description: lincRNA
Source: RNAcentral
GGCACUAUGAAAACAUCACUAAGACACGAAGGAGCUGGUGGACUGAGAAGGUUUUGGGGAAUGUCUGUCUCAGAUCUCAUGAUCACACUACACCAUAGCACUGGUGCCGCCCCUGCUGAGUACCUUUCCUGGUUCCCUAACGCCACAAGAAUAAAGCUCCAAAUCCACAUCCUGGCAAUCGGCACCCCCACGGGUGACAGUCCAGCAUCCCACAGCCAAGACCCUACCAUGCCGGACCACUGGACGUCCCCUCCUCUGCCAACACCAUGCCACGC